Molecule: long non-coding RNA, 372 nt
Filed under: Mustela putorius furo (domestic ferret)
Lineage: Eukaryota; Metazoa; Chordata; Mammalia; Carnivora; Mustelidae
Description: lncRNA (ENSMPUG00000030532.1)
Source: RNAcentral
AAGUGCCCCCAGAGUCGUCUUCAUACCAUCCUGACAGAUCACCGCUUCUUCUUCUCCAGCAUGUCCCAUGAGAGGGAGCUCCCGGUUUCGUUAGGAGUCAGCCGUCCCUUGGGAGGAGAGCCCCAACUUACCUGCAGACUUUCUUCUUUUGGCCUGAAACUGUCUUUUCUGAUAUAUAUGACUCGGGGGUGCGGGGCAGCGACUUGGUGAUGUAAGUUACAGAGAGCGUCCGUCUGCCACGAAGCAUGCGUUUCUGCUGCACCCGCCUCCCAAGCUCAUUCUCCGCAGUGCUGUUCAUCAGCACAGCCGGGACCCCAAAUGGCAGGAAAGACGGACGACGAGCUGGAGAAUUGAGCUCUUAGGAAUUCAGGG